Molecule: transfer RNA, 88 nt
Filed under: Nitrospirota bacterium
Lineage: Bacteria; Pseudomonadati; Nitrospirota
Description: Nitrospirae bacterium (sediment metagenome) tRNA-Ser
Rfam family: tRNA
About the family: Transfer RNA (tRNA) molecules are approximately 80 nucleotides in length. Their secondary structure includes four short double-helical elements and three loops (D, anti-codon, and T loops).
Source: RNAcentral
GGAAGAGUGUCCCGAAUUGGUUAAGGGGCAGGUUUGCUAAACCUGUGUCCGUAAGGAUAUCCGAGUUCGAGUCUCGGCUCUUCCGCCA